Molecule: ribosomal RNA, 274 nt
Filed under: uncultured bacterium
Lineage: Bacteria
Description: partial 16S ribosomal RNA
Rfam family: Bacterial small subunit ribosomal RNA
Source: RNAcentral
UACAGAGGGUGCGAGCGUUGUCCGGAAUCACUGGGCGUAAAGGGCGUGUAGGCGGCUUGGUAAGCCGCGUGUGAAAUCCCGGGGCUCAACCCCGGAUGGCGACGCGGGACGUGCCUGGCGUUGAGCAUGGUAGAGGCGAGUGGAAUUCCUGGUGUAGCGGUGGAAUGCGUAGAGAUCAGGAAGAACACCGGUGGCGAAGGCGGCUCGCUGGGCCGAUUGCUGACGCUGAGGCGCGAAAGCGUGGGGAGCAAACAGGAUUAGAUACCCCUGUAGU